RNAcentral lists this long non-coding RNA (472 nucleotides) under Actinidia chinensis (golden kiwifruit). Its description in RNAcentral is "long non-coding RNA (ACHI_LNC009340)". Lineage: Eukaryota; Viridiplantae; Streptophyta; Magnoliopsida; Ericales; Actinidiaceae. The record is from RNAcentral.
AUACUUUCCAUGUUUUCGAUGCAUUAAAAGAUUAUGUUAAGCUAUGAAUGCCAUGUCUUUUAAAAUUACGCAAGUGCUAUUAUGUUAUGUAUUGAAAACCAUGGAUGCUUGAUUUUCAUGAACGAUGAAGUAUGUUCAAAGUAUGUAUGCAUAGUGACACUCGGGGUCCUCUCUGGAGGGACCUUAAUCAAGCCAGAUAGUCAUACGGUAGAUGUGUGAUGUGAAAUAAAAUCAUCUACAAUCGAGAUAUCUCAGGCCUAAAGAGCCCCAGCGUAACCUAUAUGGUUACUACAUAUGCCGAGUCGUUACAUUUUUCCAGCUAUGUUUGAUUAUGAAAGCAAAUCAUGUUAUCCUAUGUGAGCUUCAAGUUUAUGAGAGUUAAUUUUUAGAAAGAGAUUAUGUUGCGCUCACAUGUUUUAUGUUAAAAAUGAUAUGUAUGCUGCACAAUGAUCCAUGGUAUUUUACGUUCAUG